This 409-nucleotide transfer-messenger RNA is filed under the name Fulvivirga marina. RNAcentral's name for it is "Standard tmRNA". It matches the Rfam family "transfer-messenger RNA". Rfam says of the family: Bacterial tmRNA, also known as 10Sa RNA or SsrA, is named for its dual tRNA and mRNA-like properties. Its role is to liberate the mRNA from a stalled ribosome. Lineage: Bacteria; Pseudomonadati; Bacteroidota; Cytophagia; Cytophagales; Fulvivirgaceae. The record is from Rfam by way of RNAcentral.
GGGGCCGACCGGUUUUGACAGGAUGUGUGAUUACGUGGGUAAGCAUGCAGGCUCAUGGGAUGAGAGCCUUGAAAGAUAGUUCCACAACACAAUUGGCGAAUCUAAUUACGCCAUGGCUGCCUAAUUUUAACAAUUGUUAAAAUAGCAGGCUUAAACGGUUGAAUCGCCAGACGCGAUUCCCGGGCCACACUCUGCUGACCGUGGUUAUGUCCGGUUAGAUUUGGAGUGUCGAACAGACUUAACUAGCGCUGACAGGGUUGUGAUGUUGGUGCGAAACUUAAUCGCAACUAAGGUAAAGUUCGGUGGUUGUCUACCUCGCUUUGCUCGAAAAUCCAAAGACAACUAAGCAUGUAGAAGACACGAUAGUUGCCUUCACUGGACGAGGGUUCGAAUCCCUCCGGCUCCACCA